Molecule: ribosomal RNA, 253 nt
Filed under: uncultured bacterium
Lineage: Bacteria
Description: partial 16S ribosomal RNA
Rfam family: Bacterial small subunit ribosomal RNA
Source: RNAcentral
UACGGGGGGUGCGAGCGUUGUUCGGAAUUACUGGGCAUAAAGGGUGCGUAGGUGGCUUGUUAAGUCAGGGGUGAAAGUUUUCGGCCCAACCGGAAAAUGGCCUUUGAUACUGGCGAGCUCGAGUGCGUGAGGGGUAACCGGAACGAGCAGUGUAGCGGUGAAAUGCGUAGAUAUUGCUCGGAAGGCCAACGGCGAAGGCAGGUUACUGGUACGCAACUGACACUGAGGCACGAAAGCGUGGGGAGCAAACAGG